AUUAGUGGCGAACGGGUGAGUAACACGUGAGUAACCUGCCCUAGACUCUGGGAUAAGCCCGGGAAACUGGGUCUAAUACCGGAUAUGCACCGUAAACCGCAUGGUUUUUGGUGGAAAGAUUUAUCGGUCUGGGAUGGACUCGCGGCCUAUCAGCUUGUUGGUGAGGUAAUGGCUCACCAAGGCGACGACGGGUAGCCGGCCUGAGAGGGUGACCGGCCACACUGGGACUGAGACACGGCCCAGACUCCUACGGGAGGCAGCAGUGGGGAAUAUUGCACAAUGGGCGAAAGCCUGAUGCAGCGACGCCGCGUGAGGGAUGACGGCCUUCGGGUUGUAAACCUCUUUCAGUAGGGAAGAAGCGAAAGUGACGGUACCUGCAGAAGAAGCGCCGGCUAACUACGUGCCAGCAGCCGCGGUAAUACGUAGGGCGCAAGCGUUAUCCGGAAUUAUUGGGCGUAAAGAGCUCGUAGGCGGUUUGUCGCGUCUGCCGUGAAAGUCCGGGGCUCAACCCCGGAUCUGCGGUGGGUACGGGCAGACUAGAGUGAUGUAGGGGAGACUGGAAUUCCUGGUGUAGCGGUGAAAUGCGCAGAUAUCAGGAGGAACACCGAUGGCGAAGGCAGGUCUCUGGGCAUUAACUGACGCUGAGGAGCGAAAGCAUGGGGAGCGAACAGGAUUAGAUACCCUGGUAGUCCAUGCCGUAAACGUUGGGCACUAGGUGUGGGGGACAUUCCACGUUUUCCGCGCCGUAGCUAACGCAUUAAGUGCCCCGCCUGGGGAGUACGGCCGCAAGGCU
This 793-nucleotide ribosomal RNA is filed under the name Paeniglutamicibacter cryotolerans. RNAcentral describes it as "bacterial SSU rRNA". It matches the Rfam family "Bacterial small subunit ribosomal RNA", at positions 91 to 895 of the family's 1533-position model. The record is from RNAcentral. Lineage: Bacteria; Bacillati; Actinomycetota; Actinomycetes; Micrococcales; Micrococcaceae.